Molecule: transfer RNA, 68 nt
Filed under: Anaplecta calosoma
Lineage: Eukaryota; Metazoa; Arthropoda; Insecta; Blattodea; Anaplectidae
Description: tRNA-Tyr
Source: RNAcentral
AGUAGAGUGUCUGAGGUUUAGGUUGUAGAUUGUAAAUCUAUAUAGGAGAUUGGUAAUCUUCUCUGCUA